This 520-nucleotide ribosomal RNA is filed under the name uncultured Glomus. Its description in RNAcentral is "SSU rRNA". It matches the Rfam family "Eukaryotic small subunit ribosomal RNA", at positions 569 to 1091 of the family's 1831-position model. Lineage: Eukaryota; Fungi; Glomeromycota; Glomeromycetes; Glomerales; Glomeraceae. The record is from RNAcentral.
AGCAGCCGCGGUAAUUCCAGCUCCAAUAGCGUAUAUUAAAGUUGUUGCAGUUAAAAAGCUCGUAGUUGAAUUUCGAGACCGGUUUACUGGUCGUGCUUUUGUACGUACUGGUAUUAUUGGUUUCUCCUUUCUGUCGAAUCAUAAUGCCAUUAAUUUGGUGUUUUGGGGAAUCAGGACUGUUACUUUGAAAAAAUUAGAGUGUUUAAAGCAGGCUCACGCUUGAAUACAUUAGCAUGGAAUAACGAAAUAGGACGUUUGAUUUUAUUUUGUUGGUUUCUAGGAUCGACGUAAUGAUUAAUAGGGAUAGUUGGGGGCAUUAGUAUUCAAUUGUCAGAGGUGAAAUUCUUGGAUUUAUUGAAGACUAACUACUGCGAAAGCAUUUGCCAAGGAUGUUUUCAUUAAUCAAGAACGAAAGUUAGGGGAUCGAAGACGAUCAGAUACCGUCGUAGUCUUAACCAUAAACUAUGCCGACUAGGGAUCGGAUGAUGUUAAUUUUUUAAUGACUCAUUCGGCGCCUUAC